AACAAGGCGUACCUGCGGACCUGCGGAAGGAUCAUUAUCGAGUUGCAAAACUCCAACCCUUUGUGAACAUACCUCAGUCGUUGCUUCGGCGGUGGACGGCCUGUUUUUCGGAACGGCCGGAAGCCGCCGGAGGUUCCAAACUCGUAUUUUUUAGUGUAUCUCUGAGCCUGAAAACAAAUAAUCAAAACUUUCAACAACGGAUCU
RNAcentral lists this unclassified non-coding RNA (204 nucleotides) under soil metagenome. RNAcentral describes it as "partial contains 5.8S ribosomal RNA, internal transcribed spacer 2, and large subunit ribosomal RNA". The record is from RNAcentral.